CAACAUAUUGUAUUUUUAGCUCAAAGUCUACUGGAGCAAAGGUUUGAGCUCUCUUUUCCACCUAACAGGUAGAGAACUUGACAGAAGAACAAAAAAAUGAGUUCCGCGCUGCGUUCGACAUCUUCGUGCAGGAUGCUGAGGAUGGCUGUAUCAGCACUAAGGAGUUGGGCAAGGUGAUGAGGAUGCUGGGCCAGAACCCCACUCAAGAAGAGCUGCAGGAAAUGGUAGAUGAAGUAGAUGAGGAUGGAAGCGGGACAGUGGACUUUGAUGAGUUCU
Sinocyclocheilus anshuiensis is the source of this 276-nucleotide long non-coding RNA. RefSeq lists it as uncharacterized. The transcript has 3 exons. NCBI's taxonomy places the organism in Eukaryota, Metazoa, Chordata, Actinopteri, Cypriniformes, Cyprinidae. The record is from RefSeq and is a predicted model, not a curated record.